AUCAGAAAAAAGGAGAUAUCCGUGG
RNAcentral lists this non-coding RNA (25 nucleotides) under Drosophila melanogaster (fruit fly). Lineage: Eukaryota; Metazoa; Arthropoda; Insecta; Diptera; Drosophilidae. The record is from RNAcentral.